ACGAAGGGGGCUAGCGUUGUUCGGAAUCACUGGGCGUAAAGCGCACGUAGGUGGAUGUGCCAGUCAGGGGUGAAAUCCCGGAGCUCAACUUCGGAACUGCCUCUGAAACAGCACGUCUUGAGUCCGGAAGAGGUGGGUGGAAUUCCUAGUGUAGAGGUGAAAUUCGUAGAUAUUAGGAAGAACACCGGUGGCGAAGGCGGCCCACUGGUCCGGUACUGACGCUGAGGUGCGAAAGCGUGGGGAGCAAACAGGA
Molecule: ribosomal RNA, 253 nt
Filed under: uncultured prokaryote
Description: partial 16S ribosomal RNA
Rfam family: Bacterial small subunit ribosomal RNA
Source: RNAcentral